GACGAACGCUGGCGGCACGCUUAACACAUGCCAGUCGAACGAGAGAAGAGAAGCUUGCUUUUCUGAUCUAGUGGCGGACGGGUGAGUAACACGUGAGCAAUCUGCCUUUCAGAGGGGGAUACCGAUUGGAAACGAUCGUUAAUACCGCAUAACAUAAUUGAACCGCAUGAUUUGAUUAUCAAAGAUUUAUCGCUGAAAGAUGAGCUCGCGUCUGAUUAGCUAGUUGGUAAGGUAACGGCUUACCAAGGCGACGAUCAGUAGCCGGACUGAGAGGUUGAUCGGCCACAUUGGGACUGAGACACGGCCCAGACUCCUACGGGAGGCAGCAGUGGGGAAUAUUGCACAAUGGAGGAAACUCUGAUGCAGCGAUGCCGCGUGAGGGAAGAAGGUUUUAGGAUUGUAAACCUCUGUCUUCAGGGACGAAAAAAGACGGUACCUGAGGAGGAAGCUCCGGCUAACUACGUG
Molecule: ribosomal RNA, 465 nt
Filed under: uncultured bacterium
Lineage: Bacteria
Description: partial 16S ribosomal RNA
Rfam family: Bacterial small subunit ribosomal RNA
Source: RNAcentral